UCCCGGUUCGUCUAAUGGCAGGACGGCGGCCUUUGGAGCCGCUUGUCUAGGUUCGAGUCCUAGACCGGGAGC
This 72-nucleotide transfer RNA is filed under the name Microbacterium phage Zeta1847. Its description in RNAcentral is "tRNA-Gln". It matches the Rfam family "tRNA". Rfam says of the family: Transfer RNA (tRNA) molecules are approximately 80 nucleotides in length. Their secondary structure includes four short double-helical elements and three loops (D, anti-codon, and T loops). Further hydrogen bonds mediate the characteristic L-shaped molecular structure. tRNAs have two regions of fundamental functional importance: the anti-codon, which is responsible for specific mRNA codon recognition, and the 3' end, to which the tRNAs corresponding amino acid is attached (by aminoacyl-tRNA synthetases). tRNAs cope with the degeneracy of the genetic code in two manners: having more than one tRNA (with a specific anti-codon) for a particular amino acid; and 'wobble' base-pairing, i.e. permitting non-standard base-pairing at the 3rd anti-codon position. Lineage: Duplodnaviria; Heunggongvirae; Uroviricota; Caudoviricetes; Casidaviridae. The record is from RNAcentral.